Molecule: ribosomal RNA, 343 nt
Filed under: Bacillus sp. GN-01
Lineage: Bacteria; Bacillati; Bacillota; Bacilli; Caryophanales; Bacillaceae
Description: bacterial SSU rRNA
Rfam family: Bacterial small subunit ribosomal RNA
Source: RNAcentral
UAUUGGGCGUAAAGCGCGCGCAGGCGGUUCCUUAAGUCUGAUGUGAAAGCCCCCGGCUCAACCGGGGAGGGUCAUUGGAAACUGGGGAACUUGAGUGCAGAAGAGGAGAGCGGAAUUCCACGUGUAGCGGUGAAAUGCGUAGAGAUGUGGAGGAACACCAGUGGCGAAGGCGGCUCUCUGGUCUGUAACUGACGCUGAGGCGCGAAAGCGUGGGGAGCGAACAGGAUUAGAUACCCUGGUAGUCCACGCCGUAAACGAUGAGUGCUAAGUGUUAGAGGGUUUCCGCCCUUUAGUGCUGCAGCAAACGCAUUAAGCACUCCCGCCCUGGGGAGUACGGCCGCAA